RNAcentral lists this unclassified non-coding RNA (209 nucleotides) under Hevea brasiliensis (rubber tree). Lineage: Eukaryota; Viridiplantae; Streptophyta; Magnoliopsida; Malpighiales; Euphorbiaceae. The record is from RNAcentral.
UGGUACCAUUCCUAGACACCUUUGCCAAGCUCUUCCUGGGUAAUGUUGCUCCCUUGGAUGGUUAAACUACAAUUGCCUUGCUAAUCUCCACAGAAGCUGAUGAAGAAUCUACCGGAGAAGAUGAUGUUGAGAUUGGUGGCCAAUAAAGGUUGGAUAAUCAGGUCUGCAUAGGGUUUUAAAAAUUGAAAUUUUUUUCAUUUCUAGGGUUG